CUUACCGCAUUCCGGCGGAGAGGGGUCAGUCUGGCGAGAGGUUUGGUGCGGUGUGCACGUGAAGUGAACAUACUGGACAACCACAGUCAUCUACAAACUCGUUCAAAGUAAACCACACUCACACGUAAAAUGAGAAGGAACACAGAAGCACCGACGUGAAAACAGGCCCGUUUCAUUUUACGCGGCAAGUAGAACAGGAAGCCAAUAUUAAGGCCGCAGCAACGCCAACGGGGCCGAGGUUGCAGCGCGGCCUGCGAUGGACCAAGUGAAGCUGAACGAGAUGAUCGGAAACUUAAACUAAAGAAAUCGGAACUGCGUGUCAUCUGCAGAGCGAAAGUCAACGACGAAACGAAGCUCCUGCAGCGCCGGACUGCGACGCGCCCGGCACCUGAGCCGGCAAUGUACCUAACUAGUCCGACGGUGACCUCCAAGUGUAAAAUGGGCAUUAUGUGGAAUACAUUUCGCAGUCUACGAAUUUUGUUGAAGCCGAUAGCUGACUGUGAUUACGUCAUUGAAGUGGGGUGCUAAGUGCUCACGCAGAAUGGCUGGUUCAGCUACUGACUGAUAUCCGUGAGACAUACGUAUUGUAGGACACCCUGUAUAACAACAUGUAGGUUUCAUGUAGAGCACCUGUAGGGCAUUAUGUAGGAUUCCUGUAUGACGGCAUGUGGGACUUGCUAUAGCAUCCCUGUAUGAACGCAUGUAGGACAACCUAUAGGAUUCCUGUAGGACAUCCUAUAGGAUUCAUG
Amphibalanus amphitrite is the source of this 749-nucleotide long non-coding RNA. RefSeq lists it as uncharacterized. Lineage: Eukaryota; Metazoa; Arthropoda; Thecostraca; Balanomorpha; Balanidae. The record is from RefSeq and is a predicted model, not a curated record. The transcript has 3 exons.